This 1367-nucleotide long non-coding RNA is filed under the name Anas platyrhynchos platyrhynchos (common mallard). RNAcentral's name for it is "lncRNA (ENSAPLG00000017384.1)". Lineage: Eukaryota; Metazoa; Chordata; Aves; Anseriformes; Anatidae. The record is from RNAcentral.
UCCCUUCCCUUCCCUUCCCUUCCCUUUCUCUUUUUCUUUCUUACAUAUGCUCUCACAGAAGCACAAACAACAUCACUUAUUGGCUCAGCUCUGGCUGGCGGCGGACCCCUUAUCUAGCUUCUUAUGAAGUUUGCAGAUGACACCAAAUCAGGGGUGGUGGUGGUGAUGGUGACCUACCUGAUUUGGACAAGCGCAGGGGUGCCACCCAGAGGGACCCAGGCAAGGUGCAGAAAUGAGUCACCAGGAACCUCAUGAAUUUCAACAGACAAAUACAGAGUCCUGCACCAGGAAAGGAAAAGCCUCAACGGAACAGGAUGGGGACUGACUGGCCAGGGAAAAGCUGCUGAUGAGAAGGACCUGGGAUGUCAUUGUAGACAAUACAGUGUAUCCUGGCAGCAAGGAAGGUCAGUAGCAUCCUGCACUGUAUCAAGAGCAGCGCAGCCAGCAGACUGAGGUGCGUGACUUUCACCUGCCUUCCAGGGAGUGCUACACAGCAUCUAGAAAACUGCAUCCAGUCUUGGAUCUUCCCAACCCAGAGAAGAUACCAACAAAGCUGGAGUAAAUUCAUCAGGGUCAGCAAGAUAGACAACAAAGACCAUAACUGGUGUUUUAGGAACCACGAAUCGAUGCCCUUAGCAGAAAUAAGCUGCCACUUCCCAAAGCCAAGAGGGCUCGAAGACACAAGAUGGUGAAGGGCCUGGGACACAAGUCCUGUGAGGAGCAGCUGAGGGCACUGGGGUUGUUUAGUCUGGAGGAGACUCAGGGGAGACCUUAUUGCUCUCUACAGCCACCUGAAAGGAAGGUGUGGGGAGCUGGGGGUUGGUCUCCUCACAGGUAACUAGUGAUAGGACUAGAGGGAAUGGCCUCAAGUUGCACCAGAGGAGGUUUAGGUUGGCAAUGAGGAGACAUUUCUGCUCAGAAAGAGCAGUCAGGCACUGGGACGGGUUGCUCAGGAGGUGAAGGCGUCACCGUCCCUGGGGGUGUUCAAGGAGAGGUUGGACGUGGUGCUUAAGGACAUGGUGCAGUGGGUGGCAUUGGCGGUGGGGUGACGGUUGGACCAGGAGAUCUUGGAGGGCUUUUCCGACCUUAAUGAUUCUUAGAUGUUUAUGGCUACAUCAUAUGGUACUAUACAGACACACCACAGCCGUUUACUCCCUGUAAACUCCACCACAGAAGCCCCGUGGCUAUAACCCUAUUCGGUCACACAGCCCCACAGCCCCGCGGCUCCCUGAUGGAGCGAACCAACGCCCCGCCCCUCCCCGCCCUCACGCGCUGCCUCCCGCCGCCAUUUUGCCGCGAGGAGCCCGCCCCCCUUUCCCCUCCGCCCCGCGCUCGCUCUCGGCCGUUUCUGUCCCUCCGCCGCCGCC